This 78-nucleotide antisense RNA is filed under the name Corynebacterium striatum. Its description in RNAcentral is "ctRNA_pGA1". It matches the Rfam family "ctRNA". From Rfam's summary of the family: Rolling circle replication plasmids contain a number of mechanisms to maintain a low copy number. One of these methods is to transcribe a small RNA called ctRNA (for counter-transcribed RNA) than is transcribed on the opposite strand to RepB the replication initiation protein. ctRNA binds to the mRNA of repB and causes translational inhibition. Lineage: Bacteria; Bacillati; Actinomycetota; Actinomycetes; Mycobacteriales; Corynebacteriaceae. The record is from RNAcentral.
GCUUUCUCCCAGCUGGAGACUGGGUGAUAAGCGAAGUCCGUCAGGUUGCCGCCUGGCGGGCUUCAUUCAUUUAUAGGG